GGGGAAUAUUGCACAAUGGGGGGAACCCUGAUCCAGCCAUGCCGCGUGUGUGAAGAAGGCCUUAUGGUUGUAAAGCACUUUAAGCGAGGAGGAGGGUACCUUGGUUAAUACCAAGAGUACGACGUUACUCGCAGAAUAAGCACCGGCUAACUCUGUGCCAGCAGCCGCGGUAAUACAGAGGGUGCAAGCGUUAAUCGGAUUUACUGGGCGUAAAGCGUGCGUAGGCGGCUAAUUAAGUCGGAUGUGAAAUCCCCGAGCUCAACUUGGGAAUUGCAUUCGAUACUGGUUAGCUAGAGUAUGGGAGAGGAUGGUAGAAUUCCAGGUGUAGCGGUGAAAUGCGUAGAGAUCUGGAGGAAUACCGAUGGCGAAGGCAGCCAUCUGGCCUAAUACUGACGCUGAGGUACGAAAGCAUGGGGAGCAAACAGGAUUAGAUACCCUGGUAGUCCAUGCCGUAAACGAUGUCUACUAGCCGUUGGGGCCUUUGAGGCUUUAGUGGCGCAGCUAACGCGAUAAGUAGACCGCCUGGGGAGUACGGUCGCAAGACUAAAACUCAAAUGAAUUGACGGGGGCCCGCACAAGCGGUGGAGCAUGUGGUUUAAUUCGAUGCAACGCGAAGAACCUUACCUGGUCUUGACAUAGUAAGAACUUUCCAGAGAUGGAUUGGUGCCUUCGGGAACUUACAUACAGGUGCUGCAUGGCUGUCGUCAGCUCGUGUCGUGAGAUGUUGGGUUAAGUCCGC
This 739-nucleotide ribosomal RNA is filed under the name uncultured bacterium. RNAcentral's name for it is "bacterial SSU rRNA". It matches the Rfam family "Bacterial small subunit ribosomal RNA", at positions 356 to 1090 of the family's 1533-position model. The record is from RNAcentral.